GAGAGCGUGCGGCGGUGCUAAACAUGCAAGUCGAACGAAGAGCGAUGGAAGCUUGCUUCUAUUAAUCUUAGUGGCGAACGGCACGACAGACGCGUAAUCAACCUGCCCUUCAGAGGGGGACAACACUUGGAAACGACUGCUAAUACCGCAUACGAUCCAAUCUCGGCAUCGAGACUGGAUGAAAGGUGGCCUCUAUUUAUAAGCUAUCACUGAAGGAGGGGAUUGCGUCUGAUUAGCUAGUUGGAGGGGUAACGGCCCACCAAGGCGAUGAUCAGUAGCCGGUCUGAGAGGAUGAACGGCCACAUUGGGACUGAGACACGGCCCAGACUCCUACGGGAGGCAGCAGUGGGGAAUCUUCCGCAAUGGACGAAAGUCUGACGGAGCAACGCCGCGUGAGUGAUGACGGCCUUCGGGUUGUAAAGCUCUGUUAAUCGGGACGAAUGGUUCUUGUGCGAAUAGUGCGAGGAUUUGACGGUACCGGAAUAGAAAGCCACGGCUAACUACGUGCCAGCAGCCGCGGUAAUACGUAGGUGGCAAGCGUUGUCCGGAAUUAUUGGGCGUAAAGCGCGCGCAGGCGGAUUGGUCAGUCUAUCUUAAAAGUUCGGGGCUUAACCCCGUGAUGGGAUGGAAACUGCCGAUCUAGAGUAUCCUAGAGGAAAGUGGAAUUCAUAGUGUAGCGGUGAAAUGCGUAGAUAUUAGGAAGAACACCAGUGGAGAAGGUGACUUUCUGGACGAAAUCUGACGCUAAAGCACGGAAGCCAACGGA
RNAcentral lists this ribosomal RNA (766 nucleotides) under uncultured bacterium. RNAcentral's name for it is "bacterial SSU rRNA". It matches the Rfam family "Bacterial small subunit ribosomal RNA", at positions 31 to 767 of the family's 1533-position model. The record is from RNAcentral.